UAUUUACGAUGUCCUCAUCCCCCACUGCAUUUAGAUCAAGUGGAAACACGCGCUUGCCAUCACUGCUUGAGCUUCCAGGCAUCAGUUUAUCGCUAUUGCCAUCAUUCGUACAGGCAUUCUCGCGUGGACCAGAGCUUAUAGGCACAACAUUAUUAUCCAGCUUAGUUUUCUUAUGCUCGGGUACUUCAGCAGCUACUUCGGCCGUCUCAAAACUUCUUUUACCUGCACCACCUGAUGCAUGUGAACGAUCCAGUGCACCUGCGCU
This 265-nucleotide long non-coding RNA is filed under the name Zea mays. RNAcentral's name for it is "long non-coding RNA (ZMAY_LNC003749)". The record is from RNAcentral. Lineage: Eukaryota; Viridiplantae; Streptophyta; Magnoliopsida; Poales; Poaceae.